RNAcentral lists this ribosomal RNA (253 nucleotides) under uncultured bacterium. Its description in RNAcentral is "partial 16S ribosomal RNA". It matches the Rfam family "Bacterial small subunit ribosomal RNA", at positions 524 to 776 of the family's 1533-position model. The record is from RNAcentral.
UACGGAGGGAGCUAGCGUUGUUCGGAAUUACUGGGCGUAAAGCGCGCGUAGGCGGCUUUGUAAGUUAGAGGUGAAAGCCCGGGGCUCAACUCCGGAACUGCCUUUAAGACUGCAUCGCUUGAAUCCGGGAGAGGUGAGUGGAAUUCCGAGUGUAGAGGUGAAAUUCGUAGAUAUUCGGAAGAACACCAGUGGCGAAGGCGGCUCACUGGCCCGGUACUGACGCUGAGGUGCGAAAGCGUGGGGAGCAAACAGG